Molecule: ribosomal RNA, 497 nt
Filed under: uncultured bacterium
Lineage: Bacteria
Description: partial 16S ribosomal RNA
Rfam family: Bacterial small subunit ribosomal RNA
Source: RNAcentral
GAUGAACGCUGGCGGCGUGCCUAAUACAUGCAAGUCGAGCGAACGGACGAGAAGCUUGCUUCUCUGAUGUUAGCGGCGGACGGGUGGGUAACAAGUGGAUAACCUACCUAUAAUAAUGGGAUAACUUCGGGAAACCGGCGCUAAUACCGGAUAAUAUUUUGAACCGCAUGGUUCAAAAGUGAAAGGCGGUCUUGCUGUCACUUAUAGAUGGAUCCGCGCUGCAUUAGCUAGUUGGUAAGGUAACGGCUUACCAAGGCAACGAUGCAUAGCCGACCGGACAGGGUGAUCGGCCACCCUGGAACUGAGACACGGUCCAGACUCCUACGGGAGGCAGCAGUAGGGAAUCUUCCGCAAUGGGCGAGAGCAUGACGGAGCAGGGCCGCGUGAGUGAUGAAGGUCUUCGGUUCGUAAAACUCUGUUAUUAGGGAAGAACAUAUGUGUACGUAACUGUGCACAACUUGACGGUACCUAAACAGAAAGCCACGGCUAACUACGUG